Amphiprion ocellaris (clown anemonefish) is the source of this 356-nucleotide long non-coding RNA. The record is from Ensembl. Lineage: Eukaryota; Metazoa; Chordata; Actinopteri; Pomacentridae.
GAAAGAAGUGCAACACCUGCAGCUGCAAAAGAGAGGGAGACGGUGUGGGAGAACAUUGCUGCCUGGGUCAAUGUAUUGUGAUGAUGUUAUCUGCCUGGUGGAGCCCCUUCACACCACAACAGACCUUGUAACUGUAAGUAGGCAAUACUCCAAAGAUUUUGCCAAAUGGUAGUUUAAGUCCACUGAAACAUAUUCAAAUGGUAGUUUCAGUCCACUGAAACAUAUCAGUCAUCUAGGAUGAAGAGGAUGAAACUGUGUCUGCUGCCUUUACAGAGGGGGAUCCAGAAAGGCACACAGAGAGCAUGGCUGGACAGCAGCAGGAUGCUUCCUCAACUUCCACUGCACAGAUUGACUCA